AGUGUGAUCCUAACGUAUACGCAACUUCGUAUAUUGGCGCUGUAUAAGAUUUUUCGUCGACGUUAAUUGACAAUAUUGACAUUGAUUUCCGUCGAACCUGCUAAAAGCAAGCUCGCUUGCCAUGAAGACGAGACACAUAAUCGCACGAUCGCUAAACUGUGACUUUUAUUCACGUAAUCACGAGACACAUUAGAACGUAAUAUGCGUUGCGACUCUUUCGCGAGACAAAGAAUUCUGCAGCAUGGUUCUGAAACAUGGGAAAUUCCGAUAGGUUAGAUAUCUCACUUGUGCAUAUUGGCUCGUAUUCGAGCGGACGAGGCUUGUAAAAUGAUGCAUUACAGUCCAUGGGUUCAACAUCAGCCGAUAUUAAGUCAUCAUUGCUGUGCGCCAUACAUUGACACAAUGCCAUCCUACCAAGAUCAUGAUCACGAGCGUCAUCAGUUAACCGAGGAGGAGACUGAGCAAGCUGGCGAGGAGGCACAUGACACAAUGACGCCUGCUACGUCUGGUGAACGUGGUUCUAGCGCAGAUCUAUUUAGAUUGGAGUUUGCGGCGUCUCAGUGGUCCAAGUUAGUUUCCAAUGCGGAAGGUUUGUUUACAAAGCUCAUGACGAGUAAUGUCUUGCCGCACACUGAUCAGGAUCAGAUUGAACAAUGGCUGUGCAUGAAGCAGGAGUACGAGGAAUGUAUAGCCAGUGAUGAGAGCACUAGUUUGCAAGGAUAUACAGAAAAUGCCAGACGUUCACUAGAACGCAUUGAGGAAGUGACCGAGACCGAUGAAAAAACGGACGAAUCUGCAAAUCAAACAAAACUUAAGCUCAAUUGCGCCUCCAGUUCGGAGAGCGAAUUAUCCGAAGUUGAUGAUGACGAGGACGACGACGAGGAGGAAGAUGACGAGGAGGAAGAUGACGAUCAAAGCGACGUGAGUUCGGAAAAUCCAGAUUUUCUAGAGAAGUUGGAUGAAUGCAUGAACAAGUUUAAGAUAGAGACGGAUAGAAUUGUCGAUUCUACAAAGGAUGAUUUCAGAGAGGCGAACAUUGAGAUUAUAUCGCCGGUAGGGAGAUCCGUAAAUAAUAAUUAUGUACCGGUGUCUCGUCCAAUACCGAUAAGAAAUCCAAAUUCCAGGCGAAACUCAAUGUUACCUGGUUCGGAUAUGUGCAAUGAAGUAUUAGCUUUUAACGAUAGCCUGAAACCUUGCCAAAAUCAAAUCUUUGAAAAUCGUAUCUUGGAAUAUAACAAUCCGUACGCGUUGGAUAAUCGCGAGUCGGAAGUAAACAUCAAUGAUAAUGUCGUUAACGACAAUUUCGUCGCGAUACAAAAUGAUAAUUCACCCGAUCUGUUGCUCGAUGCCCUCAAGAACACAGAAAUAUCCGAACCCAUCAAGGAGUUGAAGGCUCUAACACUGAAUAACGAGGCGAAACAAACGCAGGUGAAGAAAAUUCAAUCAAAUUUAGAUGGUGCCCACAAACGUAUCGAAGAACUGCAGACGACAAUUAAAAUUAAGCAACGUUUCAUAGCGGAUAUGAUAAAGAAUUCCGAUACACGCUCCAAUGCGAAGCAGAAGUUUCAACGUAAGCGCAGUAAACUGGAAGAGGAAUAUUACAACACGAGAACACAAUUGGCACAAGCGGAAAAUGCAUCUCUAUACAAGGAUCUUGAUGAAAAGACACACAAGAAAGAAAUCGAAUUGAUGAAAAAUAUAGCGAUACAUUAUGAGAAACGAAUGAUGGAUAUAGAUAUGAUAAAGCAAAUAGCGGGUGAUUCCGCGAAGAAAGUUUUGGAAUUGGAAGCCUCGUUAAAUACGUCGAAGAAGCAAAUGGACAAAUUAAAGCGACAAUUAAAGAGAGAAGAGGAACGUAAGAAGCAAUUGGAGGACGAACUGGCCAAAGAUCAACAGAAGAUUCGCGAACUCGAAGAAAAGUACAAUUUAACUGCGUCCAAGUUGAAGGAAAUGCAAUCGGAGAGCGAAGAUGAGAAACACAACACGAAAUCUAAAACUGAUUGUUCGGACAAGAUGAAGAACUUGUUAGAUGUUAGCGCAAGGAUAUCUCAUUUGGAUCACGUUCUGAAAGAGAAAUCUAUGGAUCUGGAGAGAACCGCGGAUAUGGACGAGAAGGAAGCGUUACGGCAUGAGAUUAGAAAUUUGAGGCGCACUCGAGACUGUUUGGUGGAUGAGAAAUGCGAUUUAGACGAGAAGUUUCAAAAGGAACGAACUCUGACGACAGUCGAGGAACGUAAACUGCUAGAAUGCGGUGAGACUAUCGAGGCUAUCGACGCGAUGAUCGAGCACAAGAACGAGAUGAUUUGCGGACGAAAGGACUUCGAUGAGAAUCAGUCACAGCGCGAGAAGGGCGAGAGAAUGCUGACGGAGCGCUUGAAGAAACUCUCUCAUGGCGAAAUAAUUACAUUAUUUAUGAAAUACUUCCGCAAGGUGAUCGACUUGAAGGAGAGCUCGAAGAGUUUGGAAGUUCAGAUAACUGAACUCGAGGCCCACAUUGCGAAUCAGGAUUGGCGGCUGAUGGAAGCCGAGAAGCGAAUGAUCUUACUGCAGCGGCAGUAUGAGGACAAGCUGCAUCACGUGUUCAGGCACUUUGCGGAGGAGACGAGCAGCUCCGGUUACGAACGAUUGGAUAAGGAUUCCGAACUCGUUAGGUUCAAGAAGGAGAACCGAGCGUUGAAGAAACGGCUGGCGGAUGUAGAGGCUCUUCUGAAGGGCACGACGCCACCGCGUGCAGCUAGUCCUCCGUGCAGAAUUCUGCAGCAGGAAUUGAAACAGAUCACGCCGAGUACUCGGUCGACGACCAAAGUAACGAGGCAGCGAAAUAAACUGAUAAUUCAAAAGACGACUGAUUGCGACAAAAGGAAAAAAUGAGGUAUUUUAAGGAGUACCAGCUUUAGUUUUUAUUAUAUAUUUAUAAAUGAUUUGAAUCUUUUAUUAUAAAUCUUUUAUUUAUAAGAGGAGAUUACUUACUCGUUUUAUAUGUCACGUUUCCGCGCAAUACCUCGUCGCAGGUAUUUACGAUGGACUGUAUAAAAAAUUAAGUUUUUUUAAAAAUAUAUAGUCUCUUCUAGAUCUUACAUAGAUUGUAAUGUGAUAAUGGUUUCUCUGCGUCAAGCAAUUACCUCUUCUGUAUUUUUAUAGAAUAUAUAUAUAUGUGUAUAUUGAUAUUUUAUAGAUAUAUUCAGUACUUUUGUUUAUUAGGCAAAUUGAAAAUAAGUUUGACGAUAAGUGUACUCAUUAAGAGACGUAUUCUUGGAUAUGAAUUUAACUGCAUGCAAUUUACUCAUAUUGUAUUUAUUACAGGGCAUAGUUCCAAGGUUAUAUAAUUUAACAUCUAGAUGUAAUAUCUACGGAAAUCCUCGUUCGCGCUCGAGAGCGUAUUUGCAUGCCACUCGUAACAUGUUAUUAUUUCAGCAAUUGAUGUAGCAAGUGUCAUCUUGACGAAAUAAUAAGAUAUGAUCGCUUCGUUCUGGUUUAUGCGACAGGAAAGCUUAGAGGUUUGCUGCGAGCCUCGUGUAUAGUGAUGCUCAAUUGUUAUACAUUAAGCUGUGUAUAUUCUCUUAAAUUUCACAAGCAGGUGGCUUUUGGAUGACGACGGAUGUAGUCAGGAAAUUACAUCGUUAAAAUUGAGCUAUUAAAAAAUGUAGCGAUUAAUAGUUAUGAGCCUGAUUAGGAUAUGUUAGGAUUUAUGCAACACAAUGGACUGCUCAGUCGUAUUUCCUGAAUACAUCAAGAAAACUAAGCGAGAGUUAAACGAGAGUUAACAUGAGUUAGGCGUAGAAUACUGUUAUUUAGCAUCAUGAUGAUUCGACAUUACCAUGACACUGGCUUGAUUAAGAUAGAAUC
This 3846-nucleotide unclassified non-coding RNA is filed under the name Monomorium pharaonis (pharaoh ant). Its description in RNAcentral is "kinesin-like protein costa, transcript variant X2". The record is from RNAcentral. Lineage: Eukaryota; Metazoa; Arthropoda; Insecta; Hymenoptera; Formicidae.